GUUAGGAAUAUUGGACAAUGGGCGCAAGUCUGAUCCAGCCAUGCCGCGUGAACGAUGAAGGCCUUCGGGUUGUAAAGUUCUUUAGCCGAUGAUUAUAAUGACUGUAGUCGGAAAAUAAGCCCCGGCUAACUUCGUGCCAGCAGCCGCGGUAAUACGAAGGGGGCGAGCGUUAUUCGGAAUCACUGGGCGUAAAGCGUGCGUAGGCGGUCUCGUAAGUUAGGAGUGAAAGCCCAGGGCUCAACCUUGGAAUUGCUCUUAAAACUGCAAGGCUAGAAUCUCGGAGAGGAUAGCGGAAUUUCCAGUGUAGCAGUGAAAUGCGUAGAUAUUGGAAGGAACACCAGUGGCGUAAGCGGCUAUCUGGACGAGUAUUGACGCUGAGGCACGAAAGCGUGGGGAUCAAACAGGAUUAGAAACCCUGGUAGUCC
Molecule: ribosomal RNA, 425 nt
Filed under: uncultured bacterium
Lineage: Bacteria
Description: partial 16S ribosomal RNA
Rfam family: Bacterial small subunit ribosomal RNA
Source: RNAcentral